Molecule: long non-coding RNA, 1991 nt
Filed under: Astyanax mexicanus (Mexican tetra)
Lineage: Eukaryota; Metazoa; Chordata; Actinopteri; Characiformes; Acestrorhamphidae
Description: lncRNA (ENSAMXG00005023588.1)
Source: RNAcentral
GAAUAUUCUGAUACUGGUAUUAGGACAUAAAGUGUUUUAACAAUCCUAAAUAAAUCAAACACAAUUAAAAUAAAGCCACUGUUCGUGAUUUAUGGGCAAUAUUAAGGUCACCAAAAAGACAAAAAAAUUGAGACUAUGUCCAUAUACUGUGCCAUAAGGCUUACAAAGAAGGGAUUUGUAGUCUGCAGAUUUUCAUUGUAAUCUUAUAAUUCUUUUUUGGACCACCAGGAGGCGCUCCAGACAGCUCAAGAAGAGUCGCUGCGAUGGCAGAAGCUUUGUGAGGAGCUAAGGCAAAGCUCCAGCCUGCUGAGGAACAGUCAGGACCAGUGUACUGACCAGCUUCUUCAUCUACAGAACCAGCUGGAGCGUUCCAGGCAGCAGGAAGAGUCACUGAAGGAGCAGUGUGAGGUCCUGCAACAGAAUGAGGAGACGCUACGCUCCAAUAUCUCUCUCCUAGAGGAGGAUAACCAGAGUCUUAGAGAUCAGCUAGAGGAACUUACAGAUCACAGUCAUGGAUCGUGGAAUAACGUCACAGAAGUGCACAAGCAGGGACGUGUGCUGGACCAGCUUCUCAGGACUGAUAACAGCUUAGCUGAGCAGCUUCGCCAGGCUGAACUACGACUCAGUUUGAAAGAGAAAGAGAGACACUGCUGUGGCUCCUUUAUCUGUCUGACUCUCUUCUUAUUGAUGAUGAUGGUUGCUGUAAUGGCUGCUGUCUGGAUCUACCAUCCACCAAUCAGAGAUCAGCUGUGUGACUUUUACUCAUUCGUGGAGGAAAGAGUGGAGGACUAUCUAAUGCAGGUAGCGUCUGCACAGCAUGCAGUCUGCUUCAAACCCAUCUGACGGACACCCGGAUACCAAGAUAUGGAGUUAUUGUUACAUCUACUAGUGUUUUUAAAGCUGUUUUGGCUCAUAUUUAUUGCCACAAAUAAUAAUUUCAUUUAUUUUUUACAAUAUAGGCCCAUCAGUAAUAUGAGAGCACUUCCAACGAAAAACCAAACACAGAUUAAGCAUAACAUUAUGACCAGCUCCACUGAUCAUAUAGCAUAUCUACAUACUUUAUUAUCCUCCUUUCACCCUGUUAUUCAAUUGUCAUGACACCAUGGUGAAUAGGUAAUUCUCAGCACUGUAGUGAUUAGCACUGAUUAGCAUGGCGGUGGUGUAUGAGGUGUUAGUGUGUGUUGUUUUGACGAUAUAAGUGAAUCAAAUGCAGCAGCAGUGCUGCUGGAGUUUUUAAACACCUUAGAUUCACUGCUAAUCUGAGAAUAAUCCACAAAUCAGAGUCCUGUGGGCAGUGCUCUGUGUGUAGCGCACAGAUGAUCUUCAACUUGUGCAGCAACAGAUCCAGAGCUUCUGUCUCUGACUUUACUCUUUACUUUAUCUACAAGGUGGAGCAGCUGGUGGACAGUGAGUGGUUAAAACACAGUGUUUAAAAACUGUGACAGUGAGUGUGGAAACAAGGAGGUGGUCAUAAUAUUAUGCGUGAUCAGGGUAUUUCAUCCAUUUAUCCCUUUUAAGAGAAAUCAGUAAUUUUCUUUACUCUGAAAUGUUAUUUUAGUGAAGAUACGAAUUGAAAAAUAUAAGACUAUUAAUGUAAAAAUGACCAAAUAAUUAAAAAAAUUAGGAAUAACAGGUACGAAUGGUCGAUACGAAUGGACAUAUGUUUAUUUGUUGGAAGAGCUCAAGCAUUGUACAUCAGAUUAACAAGUCUCUCACACUCCAGCUCCUAUGGGCCUAACAGCUGAAAUCAGUUCUGUCUUUAAAUGUUUGUAUACAAACAAGGAUACAAAAUAUCAUAUGUUUUAAUGCAGUGAGUUUCUAAAGAAGUUAUACCUCCAAAUAAUAAGGUUUACACUCUGUGCUUACCUUUUUAUAUACAUUAUAUAUGUUUUCUGUACAUCUAGGUUUCCAUUGUGCCUGUUCCAUCUAAAAAAAUGAAUUAUUUUGACAUAUUUUGAAAAUAAACCCAUUUAAAAAAUGGUAUGAUUCCA